This 66-nucleotide transfer RNA is filed under the name Lachnaia gallaeca. RNAcentral describes it as "tRNA-Pro". The record is from RNAcentral. Lineage: Eukaryota; Metazoa; Arthropoda; Insecta; Coleoptera; Chrysomelidae.
CAGGGGAUAGUUUAUUUAAAAUACUAGUUUUGGAGAUUAGUGAAAAGAUUGUGUUCUUUCCCUUGA